UACAGAGGUCUCAAGCGUUGUUCGGAUUCAUUGGGCGUAAAGGGUGCGUAGGCGGCGCGGUAAGUCGGGUGUGAAAUCUCGGAGCUUAACUCCGAAACUGCAUUCGAUACUGCCGUGCUUGAGGACUGGAGAGGAGACUGGAAUUCACGGUGUAGCAGUGAAAUGCGUAGAUAUCGUGAGGAAGACCAGUGGCGAAGGCGGGUCUCUGGACAGUUCCUGACACUGAGACACGAAGGCCAGGGGAGCAAACGGG
This 253-nucleotide ribosomal RNA is filed under the name uncultured bacterium. RNAcentral describes it as "partial 16S ribosomal RNA". It matches the Rfam family "Bacterial small subunit ribosomal RNA", at positions 524 to 776 of the family's 1533-position model. The record is from RNAcentral.